RNAcentral lists this ribosomal RNA (484 nucleotides) under uncultured bacterium. Its description in RNAcentral is "partial 16S ribosomal RNA". It matches the Rfam family "Bacterial small subunit ribosomal RNA", at positions 30 to 507 of the family's 1533-position model. The record is from RNAcentral.
AUUGAACGCUGGCGGCAUGCUUUACACAUGCAAGUCGAACGGCAGCGCGGGCUUCGGCCUGGCGGCGAGUUGCGAACGGGUGAGUAAUACAUCGGAACGUGCCCAGUAGUUGGGGAUAGCUCGGCUAAAGCCGGAUUAAUACCGCAUACGACCUGAUGGUGAAAGCGGGGGAUCUUCGGACCUCGCGCUAUUUGAGCGGCCGAUGGCAGAUUAGCUAGUUGGUGGGGUAAAGGCCUACCAAGGCGACGAUCUGUAGCUGGUCUGAGAGGACGACCAGCCACACUGGGACUGAGACACGGCCCAGACUCCUACGGGAGGCAGCAGUGGGGAAUUUUGGACAAUGGGCGAAAGCCUGAUCCAGCAAUGCCGCGUGUGUGAUGAAGGCCUUCGGGUUGUAAAGCACUUUUGGCGGGAACGAAAAGGACUGUGCCAAUACCACGGUUCGAUGACGGUACCCGCAGAAUAAGCACCGGCUAACUACGUG